This 492-nucleotide ribosomal RNA is filed under the name uncultured bacterium. Its description in RNAcentral is "partial 16S ribosomal RNA". It matches the Rfam family "Bacterial small subunit ribosomal RNA", at positions 29 to 507 of the family's 1533-position model. The record is from RNAcentral.
AGUGAACGCUGGCGGUAGGCCUAACACAUGCAAGUCGAACGGCAGCACAGUAAGAGCUUGCUCUUACGGGUGGCGAGUGGCGGACGGGUGAGGAAUACAUCGGAAUCUACUUUUUCGUGGGGGAUAACGUAGGGAAACUUACGCUAAUACCGCAUACGACCUACGGGUGAAAGCAGGGGAUCUUCGGACCUUGCGCGAUUGAAUGAGCCGAUGUCGGAUUAGCUAGUUGGCGGGGUAAAGGCCCACCAAGGCGACGAUCCGUAGCUGGUCUGAGAGGAUGAUCAGCCACACUGGAACUGAGACACGGUCCAGACUCCUACAGAAGGCAGCAGUGGGGAAUAUUGGACAAUGGGCGCAAGCCUGAUCCAGCCAUACCGCGUGGGUGAAGAAGGCCUUCGGGUUGUAAAGCCCUUUUGUUGGGAAAGAAAAGCAGCAGGUUAAUACCCCGCUGUUCUGACGGUACCCAAAGAAUAAGCACCGGCUAACUUCGUG